GUUUUAUCAAAAAAAGCAAAAAUAUAAACAAAAUAGUCUUCAUUGACAUUAGAAGACGCUAAAAGACAAAGAUGUUUAAACACAAUGGAAAUAAAAGAGAGCGAAAACAAAGCAAUCUAUUCAGAUGGUGUUUGUGAUAAAAAAAUAGCUAAAUUUUGCUAUUUUCACCUGAAAGUCAUUAAUUCACUAUUAUAUUAGAGGUCUUUUGGAUGUCAUCAACAAUUCAAGUUCACUUGUUACACCAACAUAAAACCAGUGAAAGACAAGAAAGGAUUCAAAAGAUCAACAUCAAAUAUUCAUUAAUCCAGAAAGGAUAUUAACUCAAUGACUGAUAAAGAUGUGCGAUAUGGUGCAAUGACUCAGAGGAUAUUAACCACUUGGUGUUACAUUUUUCCAAGUAAAGAGAUUUCUAUCCGUUCAUUAAUCCUAGUACUUAUUAUCGAUACUUAAUAUCAAUCCGAUUUGAUCAUAUUUCUGGGAAAACAAACCAGCUGAUUGACGGAUGGAAAACAAAUCUUCAAUAAAGGCUUCGAUUGGAACAUGGACCAACAUUUAAUGAGACGGAAAUACCUUGAAUCCGUUCUUCUGUUUACAUCAUUUGCAUCCCAGACACCUGAUCUGAACUGCUUUGGGGCAUUAAACUGAUAAUGCUCAAGGGUAUCAAUUUACGUGGUACAUUUAGCGCCUUACCUGAUUCCGUGUGCAAGCUUUAUUAGCAAAUUGGUAUAUUAUGCAAUUUUAACUCAUUGAAACAGUUAAACUCUGGAUAAUGGAAUCACAAAAGUUUAAAUUAAAGGUAAAAUCAACAUGGCCAUCAACAGAUCAUGAUUCGUGCAAACGGGAAUAAAAGGAGAACCAAAAUCUCAUACUGUUAUUAUUUGUAUACGUUAUUACUAUCAUCAUCCGUAAAUGAUCUGUCAAAUAUGAAGUUUCGCUGUAUUAUUGUGAUGGAACCACUUUUUAUUUUGAAAGGCACAAAGCCAAAGGAACUCAACUGAAACUGUUAUUUAUGACAUUGGAAUAAACCACGAUCGAUUCGAAUGGCAGGAGCAAAAGAUGCAAAAAUCAUUUCUUGAUAUGAUUUCUAGAAAAAAUGAUUCACUCAAGUAGUUUGCCUUUGCAUAACUAUGUUAGGCAAAUUAUCAUAGUCUAGAUGAAUGUCAACUACCAGCAUUUUCAACAGUAAAGUACAGUAUUGUAUGAAUAUCCAAAUUUUGUGUGUUCUUGGCCUAUCUUUCAACUUAAAUAAGGACCACGCCGUUGUAUGUUGGUGGCCUAAGGUUGUGUCAACCUUUAAGCUCAUCUAUGCAUCGUGUUACUCAAUGUUGAAAACAUCUGAUGGUUAUUUUACCUAGAGAAUGCACAAUGAUGUCAGUGUGGUCCAGAGACAACAAAGCAAAGUGUCAAUAACAACAUGAUGAAAGAAGGCAAAAAAUGAGAUGAAAACAUUUACAUCCGGAACAAUGAUUGGAAGGAAAACAAAACUCUUUCAUUCUGGUCCAACAUCACACUUGAAGACAGAAGACAAAUCAACUGGAAACAAUCGAAAACUUCAUCUCAUCUCAAUUUUAUCUUCAUUACAAGGCAUUUGUGUCAUGAUCAUCUUUGAAAAAUGAUUUUACAAGCCCAAAGGUCAAUCAAAUAAAUUAAUUCAACGACCAAAAAACAAA
Molecule: long non-coding RNA, 1670 nt
Organism: Tetranychus urticae (two-spotted spider mite)
Lineage: Eukaryota; Metazoa; Arthropoda; Arachnida; Trombidiformes; Tetranychidae
Source: RefSeq, a predicted model, not a curated record